Molecule: long non-coding RNA, 284 nt
Filed under: Phoenix dactylifera (date palm)
Lineage: Eukaryota; Viridiplantae; Streptophyta; Magnoliopsida; Arecales; Arecaceae
Description: long non-coding RNA (PDAC_LNC012556)
Source: RNAcentral
CUUGCACUUUAGUGUUUCAAUCCUGAGCCAAUUCAUUUUAAUUGAUUUUGAUGCUAUGAUCUUUAAAGGAGUAAAAGAAAGUCUUUAAGAGAGCUUUAAAAGAACUUUCAAAGCCCUGAAUUUUAUGUAUCCUACAUUGCAUAAAUUCAUAUUUUGGUAUCUAUGCCCCAAUACUUUUAUAUCAUGAAAGAACUUUGAAGUCAUUAAGAAUUAAGGAUUCAACAUAAUCUUAUGUUUUUCGAGUAUAUAAGUUUUGAUCUUUAUCUGCUCUUAUACUAUACUCU